This 377-nucleotide ribosomal RNA is filed under the name uncultured bacterium. RNAcentral describes it as "bacterial SSU rRNA". It matches the Rfam family "Bacterial small subunit ribosomal RNA", at positions 521 to 896 of the family's 1533-position model. The record is from RNAcentral.
UAAUACAGAGGUCCCAAGCGUUGUUCGGAUUCACUGGGCGUAAAGGGUGCGUAGGUGGUGAGGUAAGUCGGAUGUGAAAUCUCCGAGCUCAACUCGGAAAUGGCAUUGGAAACUACCUUGCUAGAGGAUUGGAGGGGAGACUGGAAUGCUUGGUGUAGCAGUGAAAUGCGUAGAUAUCAAGCGGAACACCAGUGGCGAAGGCGAGUCUCUGGACAAUUCCUGACACUGAGGCACGAAAGCCAGGGGAGCAAACGGGAUUAGAUACCCCGGUAGUCCUGGCCGUAAACGGUGCACGUUUGCUGUAAAAGGAAUCGACCCCUUUUGUGGCGUAGCCAACGCGAUAAACGUGCCGCCUGGGAAGUACGGUCGCAAGAUUA